AGUGAACGCUGGCGGUAGGCCUAACACAUGCAAGUCGAACGGCAGCACAGUAAGAGCUUGCUCUUACGGGUGGCGAGUGGCGGACGGGUGAGGAAUACAUCGGAAUCUACUUUUUCGUGGGGGAUAACGUAGGGAAACUUACGCUAAUACCGCAUACGACCUACGGGUGAAAGCAGGGGAUCUUCGGACCUUGCGCGAUUGAAUGAGCCGAUGUCGGAUUAGCUAGUUGGCGGGGUAAAGGCCCACCAAGGCGACGAUCCGUAGCUGGUCUGAGAGGAUGAUCGGCCACACUGGAACUGAGACACGGUCCAGACUCCUACGGGAGGCAGCAGUGGGGAAUAUUGGACAAUAGGCGCAAGCCUGAUCCAGCCAUACCGCGUGGGUGAAGGAGGCCUUCGGGUUGUAAAGCCCUUUUGUUGGGAAAGAAAAGCAGCAGGUUAAUACCCCGCUGUUCUGACGGUACCCGAAGAAUAAGCACCGGCUAACUUCGUG
RNAcentral lists this ribosomal RNA (492 nucleotides) under uncultured bacterium. RNAcentral's name for it is "partial 16S ribosomal RNA". It matches the Rfam family "Bacterial small subunit ribosomal RNA", at positions 29 to 507 of the family's 1533-position model. The record is from RNAcentral.